Molecule: ribosomal RNA, 500 nt
Filed under: uncultured bacterium
Lineage: Bacteria
Description: partial 16S ribosomal RNA
Rfam family: Bacterial small subunit ribosomal RNA
Source: RNAcentral
AUUGAACGCUGGCGGAAUGCUUUACACAUGCAAGUCGAACGGCAGCACGGACUUCGGUCUGGUGGCGAGUGGCGAACGGGUGAGUAAUGUAUCGGAACGUGCCCAGUCGUGGGGGAUAACGUAGUGAAAAUUACGCUAAUACCGCAUACGAUCUAUGGAUGAAAGCGGGGGAUCGCAAGACCUCGCGCGAAUGGAGCGGCCGAUAUCAGAUGAGGUAGUUGGGGGGGUAAAGGCCCACCAAGCCAACGAUCUGUAGCUGGUCUGAGAGGACGACCAGCCACACUGGAACUGAGACACGGUCCAGACUCCUACGGGAGGCAGCAGUGGGGAAUUUUGGACAAUGGGCGAAAGCCUGAUCCAGCCAUUCCGCGUGCAGGAUGAAGGCCCUCGGGUUGUAAACUGCUUUUGUACAGAACGAAAAGGUUUCUACUAAUACUAGGAGCUCAUGACGGUACUGUAAGAAUAAGCACCGGCUAACUACGUGCCAGCAGCCGCCGUAA